UAGGUGACCUGCGGAGGAUCAUUA
This 24-nucleotide ribosomal RNA is filed under the name Naganishia albidosimilis. Its description in RNAcentral is "partial 18S ribosomal RNA". The record is from RNAcentral. Lineage: Eukaryota; Fungi; Basidiomycota; Tremellomycetes; Filobasidiales; Filobasidiaceae. RNAcentral also lists the same sequence under 2 other names.